AUGCACUCUCCACCCCGAAGGCCAAGAUCGCCGACUCGCCGGAUCCACCUCGACAGCGACUCCACCGCAUCAUCAGAUCCACGAGCUCGUCGCGAUCAGCGCCAAGUUCUUCAUCAACGACAGCAAGAAGACACUCGUACUCGCAUCGAGCGCCGAAGAGAAGCGCGGCGUCAAUCGGACCAGCGCGCUGGGCCCUCUGUCAACAUGCAUGCACCAGGGGAACCAGGCGACUUGCCGUACGCGGUAGGUUGCCCUGCGUUCACUCGUGAGCUGCGGCAAGUCCAGUGGCCCAGCACGAAGAAUUUCAAGCCAGAUGUACCAGAGAAGUACGACGGCAAGUCGCAUCCGUCGGAGUUCCUUAGCAUCUACACCAUCGCGGUGCAAGCUGCCGGGGGGCGGGACGACAAGAUCCUGGCCAACUACUUCCCGCUGGUGCUCAAGCCCAAUGUCAGAUCCUGGCUCAUGCACUUGCCGGACAACUCCAUAUCCUCCUAG
Molecule: ribosomal RNA, 495 nt
Filed under: Triticum aestivum (bread wheat)
Lineage: Eukaryota; Viridiplantae; Streptophyta; Magnoliopsida; Poales; Poaceae
Description: partial small subunit ribosomal RNA
Source: RNAcentral